GGUCUUGCCUGCCCCGUGAUUUAUUUUAACGGCCGCGGUAUCUUAACCGUGCAAAGGUAGCAUAAUCAAUUGUCCCCUAAAUCGGGACUAGUAUGAACGGCACCACGAGGGUUUAACUGUCUCCCCCUUUUAAUCAAUAAAAUUAAUCUUCCCGUGAAGAACCGGGAAUACAACUAUAAGACGAGAAGACCCCGUGGAGCUUUAAACUUAUUGCCACUUAUUUAUUAAUAUAGCACCCUAUCAGAUAAAAAUGUCUCAUAGUUUUUGGUUGGGGCGACCCUGGAGAAAAGCAAAUCCUCCAGAUCGAAAGGUUUAACUACCCUUAUAUAAGAACCACAAUUCAAAUAAACAAAAAUUUGACAAAACUGACCCAGAAUUAACUGAUCAGUGAACCAAGUUACCCCGGGGAUAACAGCGCAAUCCAUUUCAAGAGCCCAUAUCGACAAAUGGGUUUACGACCUCGAUGUUGGAUCAGGGGAUCCUAGCAGCGCAGCCGUUGCUAAUGGUUCGUUUGUUCAACGAUUAAUGCCCU
RNAcentral lists this ribosomal RNA (532 nucleotides) under Hyperolius discodactylus. RNAcentral's name for it is "partial 16S ribosomal RNA". It matches the Rfam family "Bacterial large subunit ribosomal RNA", at positions 1851 to 2597 of the family's 2925-position model. Lineage: Eukaryota; Metazoa; Chordata; Amphibia; Anura; Hyperoliidae. The record is from RNAcentral.